GAUUACCUUGUUAAUGACUCUGGUGUGGCUGUGAAGAUUGUGUGGUUUCUCCCUCUCUGGUUCUACCACUUCUCCUGCUGGGACUCUGGACUGCUAGAUCACCACUUGCUCCUUCUUCAGGUUGGUCUCUCUGAUGUCUCAUUUCAGCAUCUUCUUGCUGCUAUGAUUUAUACGGUGACUCACCUGCUUGCAUGCCGGUUGGAUAAGGGCUUGCUGCCACCUCAACAAAGCUGGUUUGGUGUGAUAAUCUCAAGCUAUAUUUACUAUCAGUAGAAAUUUUGUAAAGCCUGACAUGUUUAGUGCUUUUGCACUUGAGUCCCACAAGUUAGUAAAAUUUAAGAUUACUAUGAAUUUAGGGACUGAUAUGCAAUUGCCCUAGAACUCAAGAGUUUUUCUGAAAAAUAAAUAAUUAUUGAAUCUU
RNAcentral lists this long non-coding RNA (421 nucleotides) under Oryza sativa aus subgroup. Its description in RNAcentral is "lncRNA OsNaBo_06g0015570". Lineage: Eukaryota; Viridiplantae; Streptophyta; Magnoliopsida; Poales; Poaceae. The record is from RNAcentral.